GACGAACGCUGGCGGCGUGCUUAACACAUGCAAGUCGAACGGUGAAGGGAUCAGCUUGCUGGUUCUGGAUGAGUGGCGAACGGGUGAGUAACACGUGAGUAACCUGCCCCCUUCUUCUGGAUAACCGCAUGAAAGUGUGGCUAAUACGGGAUAUUCUGGGUCUGUCGCAUGAUGGGUCUGGGAAAGAUAUUGUUUCGGUGGGGGAUGGGCUCGCGGCCUAUCAGCUUGUUGGUGGGGUGAUGGCCUACCAAGGCGGUGACGGGUAGCCGGCCUGAGAGGGGGGACGGUCACACUGGGACUGCGACACGGCCCAGACUCCUACGGGAGGCAGCAGUGGGGAAUAUUGCACAAUGGGCGCAAGCCUGAUGCAGCGACGCCGCGUGAGGGAUGGAGGCCUUCGGGUUGUAAACCUCUUUCGCAAGUGAAGCAGGCCUGCUACUUGUGGGUGGGUUGACGGUAGCUGGAGAAGAAGCGCCGGCUAACUACGUG
RNAcentral lists this ribosomal RNA (489 nucleotides) under uncultured bacterium. RNAcentral describes it as "partial 16S ribosomal RNA". It matches the Rfam family "Bacterial small subunit ribosomal RNA", at positions 28 to 507 of the family's 1533-position model. The record is from RNAcentral.